CACGUAGGGGACGAGCGUUGUCCGGAUUCAUUGGGCGUAAAGCGCGCGUAGGCGGCUCGGAAAGUCGGGCGUGAAAUGUCGGGGCUCAACCCCGGGACUGCGUCCGAUACUUCCGAGCUGGAGGUAGGUAGGGGAGAUCGGAAUUCCUGGUGGUAGCGGUGAAAUGCGCAGAUAUCAGGAGGAACACCGGUGGCGAAGGCGGGAUCUCUGGGCCUUACCUGACGCUGGAGGCGCGAAAGCUAGGGGAGCGAACAGGA
Molecule: ribosomal RNA, 257 nt
Filed under: uncultured bacterium
Lineage: Bacteria
Description: partial 16S ribosomal RNA
Rfam family: Bacterial small subunit ribosomal RNA
Source: RNAcentral